RNAcentral lists this ribosomal RNA (432 nucleotides) under Triticum aestivum (bread wheat). RNAcentral's name for it is "partial small subunit ribosomal RNA". Lineage: Eukaryota; Viridiplantae; Streptophyta; Magnoliopsida; Poales; Poaceae. The record is from RNAcentral.
AUGAAUAAGGCCUUGGUUCCGCUUCAAAACAAACUUGCCCUGCUAUUCUUCGAUGAUAUCUUGAUGUACAACAAGAGACUAGAAGAGCAUUUAAUGCAUGGGAACAAAGUCCUUGGUAUUUUGCAUAGGGAACAGUGGAGCGUGAAAUUUUCUAAAUGUACCUUUUCCCAGAAUCAAGUGGCUUAUUUGGGGCAUGCCAUCACUGCUUAGGGUGUUUCUACUGAUGCUAGCAAGGUAUUAUCAGUCCAACAAUGGCCUACUCCUACAAAUGUCCAGGAAGUAAGAGGUUUUCCGGGAUUGAGUGGAUACUAUAGAAAGUUCAUUAAGCAUUAUGGGAUUAUUGCAAAACCAUUGACAUAUUUGUUUAAAAAGGUGUGCCAUUUCUUUGAGUCAUCAGUUUCUGAUUACCUUCUUUGCCUGAUUUUGAACUGA